Macaca fascicularis (crab-eating macaque) is the source of this 1624-nucleotide long non-coding RNA. Lineage: Eukaryota; Metazoa; Chordata; Mammalia; Primates; Cercopithecidae. The record is from Ensembl.
UUCCAAUAUGACUGUGGCCACCCCAGUGCCAGAUGCCUGCCUCUGGAAGGGGGCAGACAGGCUGCCCGCCUCGCAACCUGCCUGAGGCCACCUCCUCCUGACCCCCAGCACUGCUGGGACACACGGGCAGCUCCCUGCAGCCGCAGAGAAAGAAGCGAGAAGUCCCAGGAGAACUCGGCGCACCUCUCAGCAGCCCUCUGGACUUCAGCCUAAGCUCCGGACAGAGGGCCACCUGCACUCCUGGGUUUCCAGCCGUGGCUCUCUGCAGACACAAGGAUCUAGGUUUAGGGUAGAGUAAGACGGUUGGUUUGAAAAUUAGCUGAGAAACAUGGGCAAGAUCCUUUCCUUUUUCUCUUCAUCUUUUCCUUUUUCUUUUCGUCUUAUGGAAAAACCAUUCCGUUUCCUAUCUGUUCGGCUCCGUGAAGCACAAGCAGGGCUAGGCGCCCGGAGUGAGCGGCCGCGAGACUAAGCCCCGGGCCAGGGUGCACCACGCACAUAACCUCAGAGCCAGGAGCCAGGGAGGCUUCCCCAGCCACACAGCCUCGCGGCUUCAGCACGCAGGCCCUAGCUCUGAGGUCACCCCUCACACCCUGAGCAGUGCUAGCAGUGCCACCGGUGCCAAGUGACGCAUGCGCUCCACGCCUCAGUUUCCCCAUCUGUAAAACUGAGAUGAUACCACAUCCCUCACAGAACAAUGGUGAAGACUACGAGGGAUGAUGUCUAUGAAAGUACUGCCUGAAUAUGAAGAAUUAUUUAGUCAAAAUCACUCCACAGAUAAAGCCUCCGGGCACCCAAGAAGAACCUCAUUUCAAUGAAGUAAAAUAAAACAUGAAAGCCGGGUUUUUAAAACUCUUUUUCCCAGAAGCACAUUUUCCAUGUUAAGCAACCAACUCUUAAAAAUAAUUGCUAUAUCCCAAACACAGAUAUUAAUGGAUCUCUCCAGAUAAUUCAGAACACAGAAUUCCAGAGAUCCUUGAAAAUGGUGCUGCAUUUCCCAAGGAUCCUCUGUUACUAAAAGGCCCUGAAAUUCUUCCAUUGUCCGGGGAUCGCACUGUAUGGGGAAGGUGGGUCACCUGCAUAUGUACACACUAAACACAUUACACACACAAAUGUACCCACACACAGCCUAUUUGUGCCAUUCCUGAAGUCUCUAAUUCUCACUAAGGCACGACAAAAGAAACAGCACCAGCUUAUUUCUACAUACUCACAGGCCGUUUAAUAAUGAUGCUUUGUAUAAAACAUAAUGCUUCUUUCAUUUAGAAAAGUCAAAGCCAUUUAUCUGAUCCCCACAAAACCCCACCAGACAGCAGGCAGACAAGAAGGUAGAAGGCGGCCGGGCGCGGUGGCUCAAGCCUGUAAUCCCAGCACUUUGGGAGGCCGAGACGGGCGGAUCACGAGGUCAGGAGAUCGAGACCAUCCUGGCUAACACUGUGAAACCCCGUCUCUACUAAAAAAUACAAAAAACUAGCCAGGCGAGGUGGUGGGCGCCUGUAGUCCCAGCUACUCGGGAGGCUGAGGCAGGAGAAUGGCGUAAACCCGGGAGGCGGAGCUUGCAGUGAGCUGAGAUCCGGCCACUGCACUCCAGCCUGGGCGACAAAGCGAGACUCCGUCUCAAAAAAAAAAA